GUGGGGAAUCUUGCGCAAUGGGCGAAAGCCUGACGCAGCCAUGCCGCGUGAAUGAUGAAGGUCUUAGGAUUGUAAAAUUCUUUCACCGGGGACGAUAAUGACGGUACCCGGAGAAGAAGCUCCGGCUAACUUCGUGCCAGCAGCCGCGGUAAUACGAAGGGGGCUAGCGUUGCUCGGAAUUACUGGGCGUAAAGGGCGCGUAGGCGGACAGCUUAGUCAGAGGUGAAAGCCCAAGGCUCAACCUUGGAAUUGCCUUUGAUACUGGCUGUCUUGAGUUUGGGAGAGGUGAGUGGAACUCCGAGUGUAGAGGUGAAAUUCGUAGAUAUUCGGAAGAACACCAGUGGCGAAGGCGACUCACUGGCCCAAUACUGACGCUGAGGCGCGAAAGCGUGGGGAGCAAACAGGAUUAGAUACCCUUGUAGUCC
RNAcentral lists this ribosomal RNA (425 nucleotides) under uncultured bacterium. RNAcentral describes it as "partial 16S ribosomal RNA". It matches the Rfam family "Bacterial small subunit ribosomal RNA", at positions 354 to 796 of the family's 1533-position model. The record is from RNAcentral.